AGUGAACGCUGGCGGUAGGCCUAACACAUGCAAGUCGAACGGCAGCACAGUAAGAGCUUGCUCUUACGGGUGGCGAGUGGCGGACGGGUGAGGAAUACAUCGGAAUCUACUUUUUCGGGGGGGAUAACGUAGGGAAAGUUACGCUAAUACCGCAUACGACCUACGGGUGAAAGCAGGGGAUCUUCGGACCUUGCGCGAUUGAAUGAGCCGAUGUCGGAUUAGCUAGUUGGCGGGGUAAAGGCCCACCAAGGCGACGAUCCGUAGCUGGUCUGAGAGGAUGAUCAGCCACACUAGAACUGAGACACGGUCCAGACUCCUACGGGAGGCAGCAGUGGGGAAUAUUGGACAGUGGGCGCAAGCCUGAUCCAGCCAUACCGCGUGGGUGAAGAAGGCCUUCGGGUUGUAAAGCCCUUUUGUUGGGAAAGAAAAGCAGCAGGUUAAUACCCCGCUGUUCUGACGGUACCCAAAGAAUAAGCACCGGCUAACUUCGUG
RNAcentral lists this ribosomal RNA (492 nucleotides) under uncultured bacterium. RNAcentral describes it as "partial 16S ribosomal RNA". It matches the Rfam family "Bacterial small subunit ribosomal RNA", at positions 29 to 507 of the family's 1533-position model. The record is from RNAcentral.